AUUCUGGUGCCCUAGGCGUGGAGGAACCACACCAAUCCAUCCCGAACUUGGUGGUUAAACUCUACUGCGGUGACGAUACUGCAGGGGAAGCCCUGCGGAAAAAUAGCUCGACGCCAGGAUGAUAAAAAGCUUAACGCCUC
Molecule: ribosomal RNA, 140 nt
Filed under: Bowenia serrulata
Lineage: Eukaryota; Viridiplantae; Streptophyta; Cycadopsida; Cycadales; Cycadaceae
Also listed under: 5 other names
Source: RNAcentral